Potamilus streckersoni is the source of this 69-nucleotide non-coding RNA. The record is from the annotation of a GenBank genome assembly. NCBI's taxonomy places the organism in Eukaryota, Metazoa, Mollusca, Bivalvia, Unionida, Unionidae.
GCUAUGGCCUAGUGGUUAUAGCGUCCGCAUCGGAUGCGGGUGGUCGCGGGUUCGAUCUACGCUUGAGUA